This 468-nucleotide ribosomal RNA is filed under the name uncultured bacterium. RNAcentral's name for it is "partial 16S ribosomal RNA". It matches the Rfam family "Bacterial small subunit ribosomal RNA", at positions 28 to 507 of the family's 1533-position model. The record is from RNAcentral.
GACGAACGCUGGCGGCGUGCUUAACACAUGCAAGUCGAACGGUAAGGCCCUGCUUUUGUGGGGUGCUCGAGUGGCGAGCGGGAGAGUAACACGUGAGUAACCUGCCCUUGCCCUUGGGAUAACUUCAGGAAACUGGGGCUAAUACCGGAUAGGAGCUCCUGCUGCAUGGUGGGGGUUGGAAAGUUUCGGCGGUUGGGUCUGGACGCGCGGCGUAUCAGCUUGUUGGUGGGGUUGUGGGUGUCCAAGGCUUUGACGGGUAGCCGGCCUGAGAGGGUGACCGGCCACAUCGGGACUGAGAUACGGCCCAGACGCGUAGAGGAGGCAGCAGUGGGGAAAAGUGCACAAUGGGCGGGAGCCUGAUGCGGCAGAGCCGCGUGGGGGGUGACGGCCUUCGGGUUGUAAACCGCUUUCGCCUGGGACGAAGCGGGGGUGACGGUAAUUGGUAAAGAAGCACCGGCUAACUACGUG